UUGCCUCAGUAACGGCGAGUGAAGCGGCAAAAGCUCAAAUUUGAAAUCUGGCCCUCUCAGGGUCCGAGUUGUAAUUUGUAGAAGCUGUUUCGGGCGUGGCUCCGGUCUAAGUUCCUUGGAACAGGACGUCAUAGAGGGUGAGAAUCCCGUAUGUGACUGGGUGCCUACGCCUAUGUGAAACGCUUUCGACGAGUCGAGUUGUUUGGGAAUGCAGCUCAAAAUGGGUGGUAUAUUUCAUCUAAAGCUAAAUACUGGCCAGAGACCGAUAGCGCACAAGUAGAGUGAUCGAAAGAUGAAAAGCACUUUGGAAAGAGAGUUAAACAGUACGUGAAAUUGUUGAAAGGGAAGCGCUUGCAAUCAGACUUGCGCCCGGGCGAUCAUCGGGGGUUCUCCCCCGUGCACUCGUUCGGGCUCAGGCCAGCAUCGGUUCUCGUGGCGGGACAAAGGCCCUGGGAAUGUGGCCCCUCUCGGGGGGUGUUAUAGCCCAGGGCGCCAUGCCGCCCACGGGGACCGAGGACCGCGCUUCGGCUAGGAUGCUGGCGUAAUGGUUGUAANCNACCCG
This 562-nucleotide ribosomal RNA is filed under the name Chlorencoelia sp. 8Bg11. RNAcentral's name for it is "eukaryotic LSU rRNA". It matches the Rfam family "Eukaryotic large subunit ribosomal RNA", at positions 75 to 651 of the family's 3401-position model. Lineage: Eukaryota; Fungi; Ascomycota; Leotiomycetes; Helotiales; Cenangiaceae. The record is from RNAcentral.